Molecule: ribosomal RNA, 492 nt
Filed under: uncultured bacterium
Lineage: Bacteria
Description: partial 16S ribosomal RNA
Rfam family: Bacterial small subunit ribosomal RNA
Source: RNAcentral
AGUGAACGCUGGCGGUAGGCCUAACACAUGCAAGUCGAACGGCAGCACAGUAAGAGCUUGCUCUUACGGGUGGCGAGUGGCGGACGGGUGAGGAAUACAUCGGAAUCUACUUUUUCGUGGGGGAUAACGUAGGGAAACUUACGCUAAUACCGCAUACGACCUACGGUUGAAAGCAGGGGAUCUUCGGACCUUGCGCGAUUGAAUGAGCCGAUGUCGGAUUAGCUAGUUGGCGGGGUAAAGGCCCACCAAGGCGACGAUCCGUAGCUGGUCUGAGAGGGUGAUCAGCAACAAUGAAACUGAGAAGAGGUCCAGACUCCUACGGGAGGCAGCAGUGGGGAAUAUAGGACAAUGGGCGCAAGCCGGAUCCAGCCAUACCGCGGGGGUGAAGAAGGCCUUCGGGUUGUAAAGCCCUGUUGUUGGGAAAGAAAAGAAGAAGGUUAAUAACCAGCUGUUCUGACGGGACCCAAAGAAUAAGCACCGGAUAACUUAGUG